AUAAUGGUUUUUCUAAAAGCCAUAAAAAGAAAUGUAAACUUAUUG
Molecule: non-coding RNA, 45 nt
Organism: Schistosoma curassoni
Lineage: Eukaryota; Metazoa; Platyhelminthes; Trematoda; Strigeidida; Schistosomatidae
Source: Rfam